Molecule: long non-coding RNA, 550 nt
Filed under: Brassica rapa (field mustard)
Lineage: Eukaryota; Viridiplantae; Streptophyta; Magnoliopsida; Brassicales; Brassicaceae
Description: long non-coding RNA (BRAP_LNC003860)
Source: RNAcentral
AUGAGUCCAAGGAGAAAGGUAAGAAGGUGCUUUAUUCCAUAACACAAAUUGUGUGUUCAAGUUUUCGAACUCGUUUUAGGAUUAGUUGCCAACAAGAAAGUGCAUCAAAAACCAUCUUAGGAACAAGAUGUUAUUAUAUAGUGUAUCCAUGUAAAAAUAAACACAGCACUUGGUAGAUUUCAGAGAGUAUUAUCAGGCAUCACCAGCUCUCAAACCUUCAGCCAAAGCACGUGCUCUGUUCUGGGUUUGUCUUUCUACAGCAACCACCUACAAUAAAUUCAUAAGAAAAAAGCUUUAAAGAAAACGGAUCGAAAGGUCCAAGAAGAUACAUUACCAACUGCACUUCCGAGUGCACAGCCCCAGAGAAUCCUCAUUGACCACUUAUCCCUCUCGACACCAUCAUACUUUGCUCUGCAAUAAACCCCCUUCAAAGCUAUAGUUUACCAGCAAAAAGACUCAAACUAAAAUUCAAAAAAAUUACUCGAAAUGUAGAUCUAUAAACUAUUUGGGGAAAAAGUAGAUGAGAACAACAAUAGGAGUGUGAGAUUAC